Molecule: unclassified non-coding RNA, 270 nt
Filed under: Hevea brasiliensis (rubber tree)
Lineage: Eukaryota; Viridiplantae; Streptophyta; Magnoliopsida; Malpighiales; Euphorbiaceae
Source: RNAcentral
GAAAGCUAGCACCAGCAGUAUUCUUUGUUAUUUGGCUACUUAGUGCCUGAUCCUACCUGUGCUGGCUUGAUCAUAUCAUAUGUAUUUUUCUGUUUGUGGUGGAAAUUUUAGGAUUCACAUUCAGGAACUAUUGCCAGCAUGUGUUAUUAGAAACUUCUCAAGACCUUUUUACUUUGUUGGAUAGCCUUAUCAAUUAAAUAUUGCCUUGAUAAGUGUUGAGUAUAUAUAAAUUCGAUUAUGGGGAACUAGUUCCCUUUUGCUAUAUUUUUC